AUCCUGGUGUCCUUGUUUCUAUGGAACCACACCAACCCAUCUCGAACUUGGUUGUGAAACGUAGAAAGAGUGACAAUACUUAAGCCGUGGGGCUUUGGAAAGAUAACUUGAUGUCAGGAUA
RNAcentral lists this ribosomal RNA (121 nucleotides) under Pseudochlorella signiensis. Lineage: Eukaryota; Viridiplantae; Chlorophyta; Trebouxiophyceae; Chlorellales; Chlorellaceae. The record is from RNAcentral.